Molecule: long non-coding RNA, 107 nt
Organism: Sapajus apella (tufted capuchin)
Lineage: Eukaryota; Metazoa; Chordata; Mammalia; Primates; Cebidae
Exons: 4
Source: RefSeq, a predicted model, not a curated record
GUAGGCAACUGCAGCACAAUAGUAAGUGUUUGUGUACCUAACAUAGACAAAGUACAGCAAAAAUACAGUAUAAAAGAUACACAAAUGGGGCCAGGUGCAGUGGCUCA